This 23-nucleotide non-coding RNA is filed under the name Arabidopsis thaliana (thale cress). Lineage: Eukaryota; Viridiplantae; Streptophyta; Magnoliopsida; Brassicales; Brassicaceae. The record is from RNAcentral.
GUGGGAGCUUCGGCGCAAGUGAA